GCGGCAGUAGUCUAAUGGUAGGACAUCACCCUGCCACGGUGGUAAUCCGGGUUCGAACAGCAUCGACUUUGUCAUGCUUUGGAAGUCCCGGCUGCCGCA
RNAcentral lists this transfer RNA (99 nucleotides) under Candidatus Woesearchaeota archaeon. RNAcentral describes it as "tRNA-Gly". It matches the Rfam family "tRNA". From Rfam's summary of the family: Transfer RNA (tRNA) molecules are approximately 80 nucleotides in length. Their secondary structure includes four short double-helical elements and three loops (D, anti-codon, and T loops). The record is from RNAcentral. Lineage: Archaea; Nanobdellati; Candidatus Woesearchaeota.